This 254-nucleotide ribosomal RNA is filed under the name uncultured bacterium. Its description in RNAcentral is "partial 16S ribosomal RNA". It matches the Rfam family "Bacterial small subunit ribosomal RNA", at positions 524 to 776 of the family's 1533-position model. The record is from RNAcentral.
UACAGAGGGUGCUAGCGUUGUUCGGAAUCAUUGGGCGUAAAGGGCGUGUAGGCGGUUUGUUAAGUCAGGUGUGAAAUUCCCGGGCUCAACCUGGGGGCGGCACUUGAGACGUAGGAACUGGAGUGAGGAAGAGGGUCGUGGAAUUCCCAAUGUAGAGGUGAAAUUCGUAGAUAUUGGGAAGAACACCGGUGGCGAAGGCGGCGACCUGGUCCUUUUACUGACGCUGAGGCGCGAAAGCGUGGGGAGCAAACAGG